RNAcentral lists this unclassified non-coding RNA (1244 nucleotides) under Hevea brasiliensis (rubber tree). The record is from RNAcentral. Lineage: Eukaryota; Viridiplantae; Streptophyta; Magnoliopsida; Malpighiales; Euphorbiaceae.
AGGAACACCAGGUAGACACCAAUGGCUGCAAUCCAUAUCGUUGUGGCCUCCAUGGCCAUAGACGGAGGGAUGGCCAUCUUUUCUUAGCUGUGAAAGGGCAGUGACGUUAAGCAAGUACACUGGCUUUUGUAUACCUCGCAAUACUUUCUCUACAACGAGCUCUGCUGGGUGGGGACCCGCCGGAUAAUUUGGCCCUGAGACUGGCUGCUUUUGCCCCUCGCAGUACCUUGCUUUGUCCUCCCCCCAGUCACUUCCAUUGUUAUGAUCGGGUGAAACUCCUUGGAAGAAGACCAUGGUUUUUGCAGGAUGUACAUUGGUGUCAACCCAUUUAGCCCAAGUAUUCAAAGCCUUCUCAUAUGCUACCAAUCGAUCCAUGUCUUGGUACACAUUGUUCCCCUCUUGGAUAAAAUUCCAUGGUUGUUUUCUUCCAGUGUGAAGCCACCAAUGCCAAGUAUUGAAUAUCAAAACAUCAAUCCCUUUCCAUAGCUUUCCACCUUCAAUGGAAUCCAGUUUCAGAACAGCACCUUUACUUGUAUUCACUGUGUCUACUAGAAAUGCAUUGCGUGAAAACAUCACUUUUGUCUUGUAUUCCGGGAAUGUGAAGGUGGAGAGGCCUCCGGUCCUCACGGAGGUAUAGCUAGCAUUAGGAACAGUCACAUGAAGCAUACACGUGAGCGAUUGCCAUUGGUUCAAACUUAGCGAAUCUCCUACGAACAUUAUUCUUUUCCGUUUCACUUUUAAUAAGAAAUCUCUGCCGUUAAAUCUUGGAAAGGUGCAGUCUGCAGUGGGCUGCCAUCUGUAUUUGAGAUAGUCUCUGUCUGGUCUACCAUUUUUCAGGCAAUCAAACUCCUUUUCUAUGAAGGGACAUUGUGAAGUAUCAUAGAGAGGAUAUGAUUCAUCAUGAACCCAACUUCCUUCAAACACAUCACACCCACUGUUUGCGAUUCCUGAUACCUUCGGCAACUGUUCAUCGCCAUCAACAUGGUGCACUGCUGAAAGCACCAGCAGCAUUAUUACUGUUGCUUCCAUGGCUAAAGCUCCCGUUAGGCAGAGCGUGGGAGAAGAUGGGUGUAUACUAGUAAGCAGAAUGCUAUUUAUAAUAUAAUGAUUUUAUAAGUCUUCUUUCAUUAUUAAGAUAUAUUAUUUUAAUUAAUAUAUCUGCCAGUUAUUCCAUGAUAGAGACUAUUUACAGGCAAUAUAUAAUUUUUAUUUUAUUUUAAAAAUACAGGUUAGAAUUGUUGGCG